AGAGGAAGUAAAAGUCGUAACAAGGUUUCCGUAGGUGAACCUGCGGAAGGAUCAUUACUGAGUUGUUGACAUGAGCUGUUGCUGGUCCUCAAAACAAGGGGGCAUGUGCACGCUCUGUUCACACAUCCACUCACACCUGUGCACCCACCGUAGUUCUAUGGUCUGGAGGACUCGUCGUCCUCUUCCCGUGGUUCUACGUCUUUACACACACACCGUAGUGAAGUCUUAUGGAAUGUGCACCGCGUUUAACGCAAUACAAUACAACUUUCAGCAACGGAUCUCUUGGCUCUCGCAUCGAUGAAGAACGCAGCGAAAUGCGAUAAGUAAUGUGAAUUGCAGAAUUCAGUGAAUCAUCGAAUCUUUGAACGCACCUUGCGCCUCUUGGCUAUUCCGAGGGGCAUGCCUGUUUGAGUAUCAUGAACACCUCAACUCUCACGGUUUGCCCGUGAUGAGCUUGGACUUCUGGAGGUUUUGCUGGCCUGCGGUCGGCUCCUCUCAAAUCGAUCAGCUUACCAGUGUUUGGUGGCGUCAUGGGUGUGAUAACUAUCUACGCUUGUGGCCGUCUGCCAGGUAACCUUCRGCGAUGGAGGUUYGCYGGGGCUUACAAAUGUCUCUCCCCAGCGAAGACAGCUUUUUGAACGUUCGAUCUCAAAUCAGGUAGGACUACCCGCUGAACUUAAGCAUAUCA
RNAcentral lists this ribosomal RNA (688 nucleotides) under Thelephora sp. 6 RG-2012. RNAcentral's name for it is "eukaryotic LSU rRNA". The stretch from base 263 to 417 matches the Rfam family "5.8S ribosomal RNA". Lineage: Eukaryota; Fungi; Basidiomycota; Agaricomycetes; Thelephorales; Thelephoraceae. The record is from RNAcentral.